AUUGAACGCUGGCGGCAGGCCUAACACAUGCAAGUCGAGCGAGAGGCGGACGGGUGAGUAAUGUCUGGGAAACUGCCUGGUGGCUGGGGAUAACUACUGGAAACGGUAGCUACUACCGCAUACCAUCAGAUGUGCCCAGAUGGGUUUCGCUAGUAGGUGGGGUAAUGGCUCACCUAGGCGACGAUCCGUAGCUGGUCUGAGAGGAGGACCAGCCACACUGGAACUGAGACACGGUCCAGACUCCUACGGGAGGCAGCAGUGGGGAAUAUUGCACAAUGGGCGAAAGCCUGAUGCAGCCAUGCCGCGUGUGUGAAGAAGGCCUUCGGGUUGUAAAGCACUUUCAGCGAGGAGGCGUUACUCGCAGAAGAAGCACCGGCUAACUCCGUGCCAGCAGCCGCGGUAAUUC
RNAcentral lists this ribosomal RNA (406 nucleotides) under uncultured bacterium. RNAcentral's name for it is "partial 16S ribosomal RNA". It matches the Rfam family "Bacterial small subunit ribosomal RNA", at positions 30 to 526 of the family's 1533-position model. The record is from RNAcentral.